RNAcentral lists this ribosomal RNA (655 nucleotides) under Dentiscutata heterogama. RNAcentral's name for it is "eukaryotic LSU rRNA". It matches the Rfam family "Eukaryotic large subunit ribosomal RNA", at positions 61 to 628 of the family's 3401-position model. Lineage: Eukaryota; Fungi; Glomeromycota; Glomeromycetes; Diversisporales; Gigasporaceae. The record is from RNAcentral.
GAAACUAACAAGGAUUCCCCUAGUAACGGCGAGUGAAGCGGGAAGAGCACAAAUUUAAAGUCUACCUGUUUUUCAGGUCGAGUUGUAAUUUGAAGAAACGUUUUUGACAUUCCGUGUUGGGAUAAAUCCUUUGGGAUAAGGUAUCAUGGAGGGUGAGAAUCCCGUGUAUACCAACUGUAGGGUGUUAUUUAAUACGUUUUCUAAGAGUCGAGUUGUUUGGGAAUGCAGCUCUAAAUGGGUGGUAAAUUUCACCUAAUGCUAAAUAUAAGCGAGAGACCGAUAGCGAACAAGUACCAUGAGGGAAAGAUGAAAAGAACUUUGAAAAGAGAGUUAAAUAGUACGUGAAAUUGUUGAAAGGGAAACGAUUGAAGUCAGUCAUGCUAGCGGGAAUCAACUUAGGGGAAACUCUAAGUGCACUUCACGUUUGGCAGGUCAGUAUCGAUUUUGAAUAUCAUAAAAUGAUUGGAGGAAGGUAGCUCCUUUGGGAGUGUUAUAGCCCUUGAUAGAUGUGAUGUUUGGGAUCGAGGAUUGCAGCGGAUACCCUUUGGGCUAGCAGCCUGAUCUCUAACUGGUGUUGGGUUACGGACAGCAUGCUGACCGUGAUUUAAUUACUGGUUAAAGGGUUAGAGCGAGUGUAAAUUCGUUAAGGAUGCUG